RNAcentral lists this transfer RNA (73 nucleotides) under Callorhinchus milii (elephant shark). RNAcentral's name for it is "tRNA-Tyr (GTA) (tRNA-Tyr-GTA-12-1)". It matches the Rfam family "tRNA". From Rfam's summary of the family: Transfer RNA (tRNA) molecules are approximately 80 nucleotides in length. Their secondary structure includes four short double-helical elements and three loops (D, anti-codon, and T loops). Lineage: Eukaryota; Metazoa; Chordata; Chondrichthyes; Chimaeriformes; Callorhinchidae. The record is from RNAcentral.
CCUUCGGUAGCUCAGCUGAUAGAGCGGAGGACUGUAGAUCCUUAGGUCGCUGGUUCAAUUCCGGCUCAAAGGA